Molecule: non-coding RNA, 312 nt
Organism: Pelobates cultripes (western spadefoot toad)
Lineage: Eukaryota; Metazoa; Chordata; Amphibia; Anura; Pelobatidae
Source: the annotation of a GenBank genome assembly
CAUUAGUUAAAUUAAAUCGAUAUGUGUGACAGAAUCUUGGUUUGGAAUGUGGGCAGACAAAACCGGACCCUGACCAGAAAGAAUCAAAUAAAACUGAUGAGAACGCCUCCAACUCUAAGCACAACAGUAAGCUACAUGGAAAAAUAGAAACAUUUGUUGUAGUUCUCUCACCUGACAAGUGGCAGCACAUUUUUCUUGAACCAGGCCCUGGGGAGAUAGGGCAGCUAAGCGGACAAUGGCACAUGAAGAAGUGUGGGGAUAGAUGCGUGGGAGUGGUUUAGGAAGAACGUGUGGGUGGGUUAUGUUCUAUAU